Pseudomonas fluorescens is the source of this 53-nucleotide non-coding RNA. The record is from Rfam. NCBI's taxonomy places the organism in Bacteria, Pseudomonadati, Pseudomonadota, Gammaproteobacteria, Pseudomonadales, Pseudomonadaceae.
CUAUGGUUCGACCGUCGCUGCAAAAUCAGCGAACAGGCUUGGCGGCCUGAUAG